Molecule: ribosomal RNA, 402 nt
Filed under: Verrucomicrobiota bacterium
Lineage: Bacteria; Pseudomonadati; Verrucomicrobiota
Description: Verrucomicrobia bacterium partial 16S ribosomal RNA
Rfam family: Bacterial small subunit ribosomal RNA
Source: RNAcentral
UGGGGAAUUUUGCACAAUGGGGGAAACCCUGAUGCAGCGACGCCGCGUGAUUUAGAAGGCCUUCGGGUUGUAAAAAUCUUUUCUAUGGGAAGAAAAUGACAGUACCAUAGGAAUAAGGACCUGCUAAUUACGUGCCAGCAGCCGCGGUAAUACGUAAGGUCCGAGCGUUGUCCGGAAUCAUUGGGCGUAAAGGGUACGUAGGCGGGUAAGCAAGUUAGAAGUGAAAUCCUGUAGCUCAACUACAGUAAGCUUUUAAAACUGCUCAUCUUGAGAUAUGGAAGGGAAAGUGGAAUUCCUAGUGUAGCGGUGAAAUGCGCAGAUAUUAGGAGGAAUACCGGUGGCGAAGGCGACUUUCUGGCCAUAAUCUGACGCUGAGGUACGAAAGCGUGGGUAGCAAACAGG